GACGAACGCUGGCGGCGUGCUUAACACAUGCAAGUCGAACGGAAAGGCCCUGCUUUUGUGGGGUGCUCGAGUGGCGAACGGGUGAGUAACACGUGAGUAACCUGCCCUUGACUUUGGGAUAACUUCAGGAAACUGGGGCUAAUACCGGAUAGGAGCUCCUGCUGCAUGGUGGGGGUUGGAAAGUUUCGGCGGUUGGGGAUGGACUCGCGGCUUAUCAGCUUGUUGGUGGGGUAGUGGCUUACCAAGGCUUUGACGGGUAGCCGGCCUGAGAGGGUGACCGGGCGGAGGGGGGCGAAGAGGAGGCACGGACGGCUCCGGGAGGCAGCAGGGGGGCGUGGUGCAGGAGGGCCUGAGGCUUGAUGAAGCCUCGCGGCGGGGUGGAUGAGGGGCGGAGGGUAGUAGACAGAGCUGCACUGUCAAGGAGCGUGCGUGCCGGUGAGGGGAAAGGUCGCAGCGGCUAACUACGAG
Molecule: ribosomal RNA, 468 nt
Filed under: uncultured bacterium
Lineage: Bacteria
Description: partial 16S ribosomal RNA
Rfam family: Bacterial small subunit ribosomal RNA
Source: RNAcentral